ACGCCAGUCUGCAUGGAGCCGACCUUGAAAUACCACCCUUUAAUGUUUGAUGUUCUAACGUUGGCCCGUUAUCCGGGUUGCGGACAGUGUCUGGUGGGUAGUUUGACUGGGGCGGUCUCCUCCUAAAGAGUAACGGAGGAGCACGAAGGUUGGCUAAUCCUGGUCGGACAUCAGGAGGUUAGUGCAAUGGCAUAAGCCAGCUUGACUGCGAGCGUGACGGCGCGAGCAGGUGCGAAAGCAGGUCAUAGUGAUCCGGUGGUUCUGAAUGGAAGGGCCAUCGCUCAACGGAUAAAAGGUACUCCGGGGAUAACAGGCUGAUACCGCCCAAGAGUUCAUAUCGACGGCGGUGUUUGGCACCUCGAUGUCGGCUCAUCACAUCCUGGGGCUGAAGUAGGUCCCAAGGGUAUGGCUGUUCGCCAUUUAAAGUGGUACGCGAGCUGGGUUUAGAACGUCGUGAGACAGUUCGGUCCCUAUCUGCCGUGGGCGCUGGAGAACUGAGGGGGGCUGCUCCUAGUACGAGAGGACCGGAGUGGACGCAUCACUGGUGUUCGGGUUGUCAUGCCAAUGGCACUGCCCGGUAGCUAAAUGCGGAAGAGAUAAGUGCUGAAAGCAUCUAAGCACGAAACUUGCCCCGAGAUGAGUUCUCCCUGACUCCUUGAGAGUCCUGAAGGAACGUUGAAGACGACGACGUUGAUAGGCCGGGUGUGUAAGCGCAGCGAUGCGUUGAGCUAACCGGUACUAAUGAACCGUGAGG
This 754-nucleotide ribosomal RNA is filed under the name Escherichia coli. Its description in RNAcentral is "partial 23S ribosomal RNA". It matches the Rfam family "Bacterial large subunit ribosomal RNA", at positions 2168 to 2916 of the family's 2925-position model. The record is from RNAcentral. Lineage: Bacteria; Pseudomonadati; Pseudomonadota; Gammaproteobacteria; Enterobacterales; Enterobacteriaceae.